Molecule: ribosomal RNA, 497 nt
Filed under: uncultured bacterium
Lineage: Bacteria
Description: partial 16S ribosomal RNA
Rfam family: Bacterial small subunit ribosomal RNA
Source: RNAcentral
GAUGAACGCUGGCGGCGUGCCUAAUACAUGCAAGUCGAGCGAACGGACGAGAAGCUUGCUUCUCUGAUGUUAGCGGCGGACGGGUGAGUAACACGUGGAUAACCUACCUAUAAGACUGGGAUAACUUCGGGAAACCGGAGCUAAUACCGGAUAAUAUUUUGAACCGCAUGGUUCAAAAGUGAAAGACGGUCUUGCUGUCACUUAUAGAUGGAUCCGCGCUGCAUUAGCUAGUUGGUAAGGUAACGGCUUACCAAGGCAACGAUGCAUAGCCGACCUGAGAGGGUGAUCGGCCACACUGGAACUGAGACACGGUCCAGACUCCUACGGGAGGCAGCAGUAGGGAAUCUUCCGCAAUGGGCGAAAGCCUGACGGAGCAACGCCGCGUGAGUGAUGAAGGUCUUCGGAUCGUAAAACUCUGUUAUUAGGGAAGAACAUAUGUGUAAUUAACUGCGCACAUCUUGACGGUACCUAAUCAGAAAGCCACGGCUAACUACGUG